AGUGAACGCUGGCGGUAGGCCUAACACAUGCAAGUCGAACGGCAGCACAGUAAGAGCUUGCUCUUACGGGUGGCGAGUGGCGGACGGGUGAGGAAUAAAUCGGAAUCUACUUUUUCGUGGGGGAUAACGUAGGGAAACUUACGCUAAUACCGCAUACGACCUACGGGUGAAAGCAGGGGAUCUUCGGACCUUGCGCGAUUGAAUGAGCCGAUGUCGGAUUAGCUAGUUGGCGGGGUAAAGGCCCACCAAGGCGACGAUCCGUAGCUGGUCUGAGAGGAUGAUCAGCCACACUGGAACUGAGACACGGUCCAGAGUCCUACGGGAGGCAGCAGUGGGGAAUAUUGGACAAUGGGCGCAAGCCUGAUCCAGCCAUACCGCGUGGGUGAAGAAGGCCUUCGGGUUGUAAAGCCCUUUUGUUGGGAAAGAAAAGCAGCAGGUUAAUACCCCGCUGUUCUGACGGUACCCAAAGAAUAAGCACCGGCUAACUUCGUG
RNAcentral lists this ribosomal RNA (492 nucleotides) under uncultured bacterium. RNAcentral's name for it is "partial 16S ribosomal RNA". It matches the Rfam family "Bacterial small subunit ribosomal RNA", at positions 29 to 507 of the family's 1533-position model. The record is from RNAcentral.